UUAAUGACUAUGAUUAAGCCUAGUAGGUAGUGGGACUUUUCCACAGCGAGGAAUGGAUAAUGGAAGCAUUCCGAAGAGCACUACCAAAUUUCAGCUUAGGAGUAGAAUCUAAUCAAUUCCGGUAUUUCACCGUUAACGAAAGUUUGAGUGUAUUCGCUGUGUGCGGAUAAACUAGGGUGGUACCGCGAAGCUUCGUCCCUUUU
RNAcentral lists this non-coding RNA (203 nucleotides) under Amylolactobacillus amylophilus. Its description in RNAcentral is "Lactobacillus amylophilus T-box sequence". It matches the Rfam family "T-box leader". From Rfam's summary of the family: Uncharged tRNA acts as the effector for transcription antitermination of genes in the T-box leader family. T-boxes are found upstream of many aminoacyl-tRNA synthetase genes and some amino acid biosynthetic genes usually in Gram-positive bacteria. The anticodon of a specific tRNA base pairs to a specifier sequence within the T-box motif, and the NCCA acceptor tail of the tRNA base pairs to a conserved bulge in the T-box antiterminator hairpin. Lineage: Bacteria; Bacillati; Bacillota; Bacilli; Lactobacillales; Lactobacillaceae. The record is from RNAcentral.